UACGUAGGGUGCAAGCGUUAAUCGGAAUUACUGGGCGUAAAGCGUGCGCAGGCGGUUGUGCCAGACAGAUGUGAAAUCCCCGGGCUCAACCUGGGAACUGCAUUUGUGACUGCACGGCUGGAGUGCGGCAGAGGGGGAUGGAAUUCCGCGUGUAGCAGUGAAAUGCGUAGAUAUGCGGAGGAACACCGAUGGCGAAGGCAAUCCCCUGGGCCUGCACUGACGCUCAUGCACGAAAGCGUGGGGAGCAAACAGG
Molecule: ribosomal RNA, 253 nt
Filed under: uncultured bacterium
Lineage: Bacteria
Description: partial 16S ribosomal RNA
Rfam family: Bacterial small subunit ribosomal RNA
Source: RNAcentral